CAGUAUGAAAUGCUGCACAUAGAGAUAUAUGUUAUAUUGCUGACGCAGUUGUAAUUCGACCAGCAGCGUCAUUAUCCCGCUAUCCCCACCUGUCAUUGAGCUCUACUACAGCUCAUUGCGAAGCACAGGAACGUGACACACUCAAUGAGAGUCCUUUGAUUGGUCAUUUUUCAGGCACAGACCUAAAGUUUGUACCCGGGAAAGAGGGGAGGCUUUACAGUCGAAUGUUCCUUUAAGCAUGUGAGGUAGGGCUAGUGCGCUGUAUAGGUGGGAGAAUAUGACCUGCUCAGGGUAUGUGGUUGGGAGGGUGGCCGAAUGACGAUAUUACUUUGUGGAAGCAGAUACGCG
Molecule: non-coding RNA, 348 nt
Organism: Pelobates cultripes (western spadefoot toad)
Lineage: Eukaryota; Metazoa; Chordata; Amphibia; Anura; Pelobatidae
Source: the annotation of a GenBank genome assembly